UAUUGGCUUAGUUAGGAGGCAAAGAUUAAUGGAUCUUUUACUGGUCUUCUAGGGCCUUUUGAGGGGACUCUUGCUUCUUUGGAUCGAUUGUCCUCCAAGCAGCCUUAAGACAUAA
This is a small nucleolar RNA of Carya illinoinensis, 115 nucleotides long. RefSeq annotates it as small nucleolar RNA U19. The record is from RefSeq and is a predicted model, not a curated record. NCBI's taxonomy places the organism in Eukaryota, Viridiplantae, Streptophyta, Magnoliopsida, Fagales, Juglandaceae. The transcript has a single exon.